GGAUAGUAUGCGCAGAUGUUGAGUCUUCUUGUCUUCUCUUGGUUAUUUUCCAUUAUCUAUACUUAUGACCACACGAGCAACCCUUGAGAAUAAUCAAAUAUUUAAUGGGGGGGUAUGAUUGCCAACCUGAGAAAUAGGCUGUGUAAUAUUGUGAUCUCAAGGUAGGCUAUUUUCCCUUAGGUCAGGCUAUAUUUUAAAACGAUCUUACCACAGAAUUAAGAAUAACGAUUUUCACUGGGCUGAGACCUAAUCUUACCCUUUCCAAAUGCAGUUGACAUAUUUACGUAACUGGAUUGGAGUAUGUAACAAACACAGGAGCCAAAGCGGCCUACACACAGGAGCAGACAAGGACAGGGUGACUCUUCACACAUGUGCACGUGUUCUUUUUCAAACGACUUUGGGUAGACAUUGGUCAGACAUCUGCGGGGGCUGCCAUGUCAGUUAGAGAUCAAACACCGUGGGACAAUCCUUACUACAGUGAGCUCCUAUGAAGCAGUGAUCAUAUCUAUAAAUAUCCCGAUGUUUAUUCAACCUGCUCGGACCGUCACAAAAUUGAAAAUGUUUCACUGCUGCCCUCUGCUGAGAAAACGGUAAACUUAAAUCUGUUUAUGAAGCCAUACGUUUUGUUUUUAAUUCACCUUAAUUCAGUUUCUUUACGUAAAUGCUAAAAAAUAUCUUUGAGCUUGUUUGAAGAUAGAUUUGCGUGUACAACCUAGAGAGAGUGAGUGAGAGAGAGAGUACCUGUAUAUGUGUGUGUGUGUGUGUGUGUGUUGUAAUGGGUAAAGAGAGUGACAGGAUGUAGAAUGGAAACUCCUACUUCACAAUGAAAAAAAUACUGAACACAUCUGUCUGUAUGGUUCACUUCCUCCUCUCAGGGACAGUGAUCAGAGGAGAAGAGCGAGUAGAAGAAAUUGAAAGAAAGGCAAAAGAAAGCAGUCUAAAUGGACUAGGCCCGACCUGCUUCGAUUCAACACGCGUGUGAAGUUAAGAGAGGUAGAUAGAACAGAACAGAGGAAAAACAGUGGAGAGAAGACAAAGAAACAGAGAUGGCUCAAAGAUUGACACCAAGAAAAUCGUUCUUCGGUGCUCUGAUGUUUCUUGUCUUCCCACAUACAGGGAUAUCAAACAAAGAGAUAUCCAUUUCUCAAACAAACGAGGAAGCAGCCAUCAUCCUGACCUGUCACCUGUCUGGGAAUAUGACAGUCAUUCAGACAAGCUGGGUGAUGAGCCCUAAUAGAACUAAUGUAGGCACCUUCCACCCCGUGUACGGCACCCAUGUCCUCCCACAGUACACGGAACACGUGGAGAUCCUCAGUGAUCCUCCCAACUCCCAUAGGAGCUCCUUGAGGCUGAAGAACGGGGCGAUGAAUGGACCAAUCUCUUCUGCUGUGUGUUCACCACCUUCCCCUCAGGCACGCUGGACUGCUGUACAGACAUCAACCACAACACCACCCAAGGUACACCACCUCUCUGUCCUCCACAACACCACCCAAGGUACACAACCUCUCUGUCCUCCACAACACCACCCAAGGUACACAACCUCUCUGUCCACCACAACACCACCCAAGGUACACCACCUCUCUGUCCACCACAACACCACCCAAGGUACACCACCUCUCUGUCCUCCACAACACAACCUCUCUGUCCACCACAACACAACCUCUCUGUCCACCACAACACCACCCAAG
Molecule: long non-coding RNA, 1688 nt
Organism: Clupea harengus (Atlantic herring)
Lineage: Eukaryota; Metazoa; Chordata; Actinopteri; Clupeiformes; Clupeidae
Source: Ensembl